CACCACCUGUGAUCACGUUGUGAAUAAAACUCAGAAGUCACGUGCUCAGCACUAUUGACGGAACAGCGAGUCAAACACACACCCGCACACGAUCUUUGCAGUCUCCUUGGAAAUUAAAGGAUCAGAAUUGUUUAUAGGUCAUGCAUUCUACAACAACAACAGUAGUAAUGUCAGCUCCCCCGGCUCCAGUCGUCAUCCAGCAGGCACCGAUAAAAGAAAGAUUUGCCGACAGAAUUCUGCUAAACAUCCUGAUCUCCAUCUUCUUUCCUUUCUGGUUGAUUGUGUGGUGCUGUAUGUGCAUUUGUGAGAGGUAACCCGUUAUGAAUGAUGACUGUUUGCGUCAUGAUCGUGAUCACUUACAUGAACAAGUACCAGGGAUUGAUAUAGAGCUUAAUAUCAUAUUGAUCUGUAUAAAAAAAAACAUUUCCUUUU
Ostrea edulis (European flat oyster) is the source of this 432-nucleotide long non-coding RNA. RefSeq lists it as uncharacterized. The record is from RefSeq and is a predicted model, not a curated record. The transcript is spliced from 4 exons. NCBI's taxonomy places the organism in Eukaryota, Metazoa, Mollusca, Bivalvia, Ostreida, Ostreidae.